Molecule: ribosomal RNA, 246 nt
Filed under: uncultured Lactobacillus sp.
Lineage: Bacteria; Bacillati; Bacillota; Bacilli; Lactobacillales; Lactobacillaceae
Description: partial 16S ribosomal RNA
Rfam family: Bacterial small subunit ribosomal RNA
Source: RNAcentral
CGUGGGUAACCUGCCCAAGAGAUCGGGAUAACACCUGGAAACAGAUGCUAAUACCGGAUAACAACAGAUGAUGCCUAUCAACUGUUUAAAAGAUGGUUCUGCUAUCACUUUUGGAUGGACCUGCGGUGCAUUAGCUAGUUGGUAGGGUAACGGCCUACCAAGGCGAUGAUGCAUAGCCGAGUUGAGAGACUGAUCGGCCACAUUGGGACUGAGACACGGCCCAAACUCCUACGGGAGGCAGCAGCA